UAGUUGAGUGAGCAUCUCCGACACGGCAACAACUGCUGUGCACUUUUUUUCACCAACUGGAUUCUUCAUUGCGUAAUUAGUUCGUAAUCAUGAUUGUAUAUAAGGAGAGAAAAGGCGAAAGAAUCAGUUGGGUGAUCAUCUCCGACACGACAACAACUGAUAUGCACUCCGGUAUUUGUCAUCUGCAUUCUUCGUCGUAUCACCAGUUUGCACUCAUGGUAAAUUAUGGCGUCGUGCUGCUGUUGAUUGUUGUCCUGAAGAACUUCACCACCGAGGCUCCAUAAAAUUUUACUACAAUUUAUGCUGCCCCGAGCUGUAUCACCAAUGUACUACGCCGGAGUACUACACCAUGGCUUCCAAGUACUACACCACCAAGGCACCGAAGUUAUACACGCCCCAACCUGCUAAACCGUGACUCCCAAGUAUUACUCUGCUUCAGUUACUACACCAGUACACCGAGGCUCCAACUCACUAUACCACCAAAGCUGCUGAAUACUAUACAGAAGCCACCAAGUACUACACCUCCAAGGCUACAGAAUGUUACACCACACCUUAUGCUGCCUCGAGCUACUACACCACAGCCCCGAAGUAUUAUUCUGCCCCGAGCCCGAGUACUUCACCGAGGUCCUGGAGUACUACACUACAACCUACGUUGCCCCAGCUCACUACACCGUGGCUCCCAAGUACUACAUCAACGAAUCACCUGAGCACGACUACGUGUGCUGCCUCAACCUACUACACCGAGACUCCCAAGUAUUACUCUGCUUCAGGUACUACACCCAGGCUCCAACUCCAAGUACUACAGCGAGAAGGUCGGAAUAUUACACAACCGCGUAUGCUGCUCCAGUUUACUACACCUGUUCUAACACACGUACUAACCCAAUCGAUUACGAAGAGAAAGGCGAAAAAAUAAGUCGAAUGAUUAUCUCCAACAUGGCAACAACAAAUGCAGUGCACUAUUUGUCACCAACGGCAAUCUUCUUACCACCAGUUCUCAAUCAUGGAUUAUUUAAUGUCUACUAAAUUAUGGCGUCAUGCUGCUGUUGGAUGUUGGAUCAUCGAUGGCUGGGUCAACAACUGGUGUACAUAUGUCUCCUGGGUAUGGCGGAUAUUAAAGCACAACAUAUCCGUCUUGUUACUCAAUAUCAACCAACGCAUCUCCAGCUUACCUAUUCAUCACCAAUUUUUGCAAUCAUGGAGUCGUUCUGUUCUUGAUUGUUGUCUUCAAAUACUACACCUACAAGGCAACCACCGAAUGUUACACCACACCUUACGCUGCCUCGAACUACUACACCACAGCCACGAAGUAUUAUUCUGCCCCGAACCCGAGUACUUCACCGAGGUCCUGGAGGUCCUACACUACAACCUACGUUGCCCCAGCUCACCAAACCGGAGCUCCUAUCUAUUACACCCCCAAAGCAACUGAGUACUACACAACUGCGUGUGCUGCCCCAACCUACUAUAUCGAGACCGAUCGAAACUCAAGUACUACUCUGCUUCAGUUACUACACCGAGGCUCCAACUUACUAAAAUUAGAAAAAAAGGAAGAAUUGUGUCCCCAUCCCCAGCAACGUCAACCUGCAAAAGACAAAAUUUUCACUCGAAGGUCACGGAGAUCAUUACGUAGAACGUGUCAUGCAGUGGUGUAGAUAUUAGGUGAGAAAGGGGUGUGUUUCAUUAUAAUUAAGCAGUUGCAACACCCGCAAGGCUUUAGAGGUGAGGGUGAGAAAAAAAUCGUAUAAAAGGAGAGAGAAAAGGUCAUACACAUCAGUUGAGUGAGCAUCACCGACACGGCAACAACUGCAGUGCACUACCUCCACCAACUGCCUUCUUCAUCGCGUUACCAGUUCUCAACCA
RNAcentral lists this long non-coding RNA (1857 nucleotides) under Daphnia pulex (common water flea). RNAcentral describes it as "uncharacterized LOC124210530, transcript variant X2". The record is from RNAcentral. Lineage: Eukaryota; Metazoa; Arthropoda; Branchiopoda; Diplostraca; Daphniidae.